UAGCUAACGCGUUAAGCACUCCGCCUGGGGACUACGGUCGCAAGACUAAAACUCAAAGGAAUUGACGGGGACCCGCACAAGCGGUGGAGCAUGUGGUUUAAUUCGAUGCAACGCGAAAAACCUUACCACUUCUUGACAUGGAGGCUAGAUCCUUCUUAACAGAAGGGCGCAGUUCGGCUGGGCCUCGCACAGGUGCUGCAUGGCUGUCGUCAGCUCGUGUCGUGAGAUGUUGGGUUAAGUCCCGCAACGAGCGCAACCCUCAUCCUUAGUUACCAGCGGGUAAUGCCGGGCACUUUAAGGAAACUGCCAGUGAUAAACUGGAGGAAGGUGGGGAUGAUGUCAAGUCAGCACGGCCCUUAUGGGGUGGGCUACACACGUGCUACAAUGGCGACUACAAUAGGUUGCAACGUCGCAAGGCUGAGCUAAUCCGUAAAAGUCGUCUCAGUUCGGAUUGUCCUCUGUAACUCGAGGGCAUGAAGUCGGAAUCGCUAGUAAUCGUGGAUCAGCAUGCCACGGUGAAUACGUUCUCGGGUCUUGUACACACUGCCCGUCACGCCAUGGGAAUUGGCUUAACUCGAAGCUGGUGCGCCAACCGUAAGGAGGCAGCCAUU
Molecule: ribosomal RNA, 611 nt
Filed under: uncultured Anaplasma sp.
Lineage: Bacteria; Pseudomonadati; Pseudomonadota; Alphaproteobacteria; Rickettsiales; Anaplasmataceae
Description: bacterial SSU rRNA
Rfam family: Bacterial small subunit ribosomal RNA
Source: RNAcentral